CAGGACGAAGCUAAAACAGAAAAGCAUCUCCCUUACACCGAGAAGUUACCUGUGCAAAUCAGGUCGUACUGA
RNAcentral lists this transfer RNA (72 nucleotides) under Belonesox belizanus (pike killifish). RNAcentral's name for it is "tRNA-Val". It matches the Rfam family "tRNA". From Rfam's summary of the family: Transfer RNA (tRNA) molecules are approximately 80 nucleotides in length. The record is from RNAcentral. Lineage: Eukaryota; Metazoa; Chordata; Actinopteri; Cyprinodontiformes; Poeciliidae.